This is a non-coding RNA of Taeniopygia guttata (zebra finch), 280 nucleotides long. Lineage: Eukaryota; Metazoa; Chordata; Aves; Passeriformes; Estrildidae. The record is from RefSeq and is a predicted model, not a curated record.
CAGUAGGAUCCUGUGGCUGACAGAGAGCUAUGAUUAGCUGCUCACAGGCAUUUUUAAUAUUUGCCCAUGAUGAAAUGGAAUUUGUUUCUCCAGGAAACGUUUCCCACUGAGAUUUCCUGAAGUCCUUUACCCAGAUGCCCAGCAGUGACGGCAGCAGGCAAAGCAGCAGAAAACCCAAAAGGACAAAUCAGGGCUCCAAGGGCCACAAGCAGGAGAGGUCCUCUGCCUUCCCAUUUUCCAUGUUUUUAUGGGCAGCAGCCAGCUGCAGAUGGUGGGUAAG